Long non-coding RNA from Physeter macrocephalus (sperm whale), 1529 nucleotides. RefSeq lists it as uncharacterized. The transcript is spliced from 4 exons. NCBI's taxonomy places the organism in Eukaryota, Metazoa, Chordata, Mammalia, Artiodactyla, Physeteridae. The record is from RefSeq and is a predicted model, not a curated record.
AACCAGUUUUCGUCGUAUCCUCAAUGGCAGUGUCAUCCUUUUAAAGGUUGUGCCCUGCCCCCUUCCCUCCUGUUUCACUUCGAGGGUUCGGUUUAUUUAGCCUCACUAUGCAUGGGGCACACGAAGUUGUGUUUGGUAACACCUGGAGCUUGUGGAUGUGCUACUUUAGGAUGCCUCCAGUCUUUCCUUCCGAGUGGCCCUCCGGGGGUGCUGCUGUGCUCUGAGGCUCUCUUGCCCCAGGGUCUCCCUCCGUGGGUGUCUUUGGUCCUCUGAUCCUCGGGGGUCACUCUGCAGCCUCCUCAUACCGACUGCCUGGACCACUGCGGCUCCCCGGCCCUUCUGCAGACGGGAUCCUGGAGCAAGCAGGUUGAGGAGGGCUGGCAGGAGGUGGAGGCAGGGCCCCAGCCCCCCUGGCGGAACGGUCACUGCCCAGCUAUGGCUCUGAGGUCCAGCACUGCCUGCUCCCUCACCUCUUGAGCCAGGAUGCCUAAAGCAGAAUCCCUUACAUUGGAGAAGAACCCUUACAAGGGGCCCUUGUUAAAACAAGACACAAUUAAGAGAUGGAAAGGCCAAAAAGCCUUGAAAAACAGGCUCUGAGAUUGACGCCCUGGUUGCUUGAAGCGCAGGCGAAGGCAGACGGGCCCAGACGACAGCGUGAGAGCUCUCCAGCCCCAUUGCGUCAGUUUCUCCUUGAAUGCAAUUCCAGAAGAGACCACUAGAGGGCAGGCCACACCUCUCAAUGCCUGCUGGGCAUGGGGGGCGGGGUGUUGAGGCUCCCAGGCCUGGCCGCCCACGUAACUUCCCCGAAAGAAGAGGGGUUCAAGCUUUCCCACCGUCCUGCUAACGAACUUUCUUAAAAGUCAGUUGCCUAACCUGCUACCAAAGGAAGUCUAAAUGAACCCAGCCUCCAUGAUGCGAGGAAGCUCAGGCCACACGGGACAGCCACGUGUCUGGGCUGGCAGCCCAUCCUGAGGUCCCAGCCAACAGCAGGCAUCAGCCACCAGACAUGCAGCCCAGUGUUGGGGAGAACUCGUUACAGAGCAAUGGAUAACUGGCAUUUGCUGGGGAUGACUGAUAGUAAAAGCCCUGAAACCAUGCACUGCCCUGGCCCUUACCCAGUUUUGUUAUUUGGAAAAUGUGAAUUAUCACAAAGCAAGCAGGAUCCCGCUCUCUGGGCAGCACAUCACAGCCGCAGAACUUGAACCCUUCACUGACCCUGCUGUGCGUGGCUGACACACAGAGUGGAUCUUCAACACAACCUGUAAGCAACAGGCAGGCUGUCCUCUCUCGACAACGGGUUCCUUCCACUCAAAGGGAAAAACAAGAAGAGGAAGAGCGGCUGCCUGGUCUCUGCCAGUCAUGGAAUACAUCUCAGCAAAUGAUCAGAUUUGAAACUGCUUUGUGUCCUGGUUCACUUGGUCCUACCGGGAAAUAACCUGAUUUGAGUUGGAAACACCCCUGUGCCAUUGAGAUGCAAGUGGGAUCCUUUGGGAGAGGAAAAAAAUAAACUGAUUAUGAAGUUUGAGAUA